Molecule: ribosomal RNA, 306 nt
Filed under: uncultured archaeon
Lineage: Archaea
Description: bacterial SSU rRNA
Rfam family: Archaeal small subunit ribosomal RNA
Source: RNAcentral
GUAGCUUAACUGUGGGAAUUGCUGGAGAUACUAUUAGACUUGAGACCGGGAGAGGUUAGAGGUACUCCCAGGGUAGAGGUGAAAUUCUGUAAUCCUGGGAGGACCGCCUGUUGCGAAGGCGUCUAACUGGAACGGUUCUGACGGUGAGGGACGAAAGUUAGGGGCGCGAACCGGAUUAGAUACCCGGGUAGUCCUAACUGUAAACGAUGCGGACUUGGUGUUGGGGUGGCUUUGAGCUGCUCCAGUGCCGAAGGGAAGCUGUUAAGUCCGCCGCCUGGGAAGUACGGUCGCAAGACUGAAACUUAA